This 355-nucleotide long non-coding RNA is filed under the name Glycine max (soybean). RNAcentral describes it as "long non-coding RNA (GMAX_LNC000585)". Lineage: Eukaryota; Viridiplantae; Streptophyta; Magnoliopsida; Fabales; Fabaceae. The record is from RNAcentral.
AGACAAAGGAGAAGAGGUGAGAGGAGGCGCCAUCCACUAGGGAAUAAGCCAUGGAAGAAGGAGCUUCACCACCAAGAUGAGCCUUGGAUAAGAAGCUUGGAGAGGAUGCUUCAAUGGAGGAAAAGAAAGAGGGAGAGAAAGAGAGAGGGGGGAGCACGAAAUUGAAGGGAGAAAAAGGGAGAGAAGUUGAACUUUGAGUUGUGUUUCACAAGACUCUCAUUCAUCAAAGUUACAACAAGUGUUACACAUACUUCUAUUUAUAGACUUUGUAGCUUCCUUGAGAAGCUUUCUUGAGAAAACUUCCUUGAGAAGCUUCUUUGAGAAAACUUCCUUGAGAAGAUAGAGCUUAGCUACA